UAUUGCAGUAUUCUGCAAAGUAUUUAUUGGUGCCCAGUGUGUCACUUUUAAAAUUUAAAAUCCACUUAAAAGUCACCUUGAAUUCUUACUUCAGUGAAUAAACCAGCCAGUGUAAACAGUAAAUAAACCCUUGUUGAUUUGCAAGCAAUAUGUCAUUUGUGUGGGUAUUCUUGUUCAUAGAGAGAGAAAGUGGUUGAACACAUAUUUUAUCUUUGAAGUAAAAAUAGUCCAUAUCAUGAUGAGGUUAAAACAAGUACGGUGAAGGCUGGUCCAUAGGUGGGGGUGGAUAGACACUCAGUUUUAGCUGCAAAAAAAAAGAAAUCAGCUCUGAGGAGUGCUCAGGACAAAGUGUGUUGUAAACAGACGUGUUUUCUCCGUCAUAACUAUAUCUGUAAUUUUCUUUCUCAGUCCCUUUAUGGGUGGCUGGAGAUGAUGCUGAG
Non-coding RNA from Pelobates cultripes (western spadefoot toad), 440 nucleotides. Lineage: Eukaryota; Metazoa; Chordata; Amphibia; Anura; Pelobatidae. The record is from the annotation of a GenBank genome assembly.